Alligator sinensis (Chinese alligator) is the source of this 470-nucleotide long non-coding RNA. RefSeq lists it as uncharacterized. The record is from RefSeq and is a predicted model, not a curated record. The transcript has 3 exons. NCBI's taxonomy places the organism in Eukaryota, Metazoa, Chordata, Crocodylia, Alligatoridae.
CGUCCCGCCCGCGAGCAGUGAGUGACUGGGCAGAAGAUUGGUGAAGAAACCUCCAGAAGUUUCAUAGAUGUCAUAGACAUUCGGGCUGGAAGGGACCCUGGAGGAUCAUCGAGUCCAGCCCCAGGGCCAGGAAGUCAGCUGGGGUCACUUCCCAGGCCCAAUACCCUGCUCGCGGCUGCUGGGAUCAUGGCCAACAUCAGUGGGAACAACGUGGAGGUGAAUUUCCAGCGGGCCCAUGAGAUAUUCAUGUGAAAAUGCUUCAAUAAUUUGUAAGAACUAAAACAGCCUGGGAGAGAAGACCAUGAAGGUAAAGAAGGAGCAGGACCAGCGCUGCACCCUGGGGAAGGACAGGAGGUACAAGACCCUCCCUCUUUCCCAGGGAUAUAAAUCCCAGCGGACUGACGCCUUCCAAGUGCACCAGAGAUCUGCUGCCGUCCAGCUCCAAAAGAGAGAAAUAAAUAGAAAUUGCA